RNAcentral lists this ribosomal RNA (259 nucleotides) under uncultured bacterium. Its description in RNAcentral is "partial 16S ribosomal RNA". It matches the Rfam family "Bacterial small subunit ribosomal RNA", at positions 793 to 1055 of the family's 1533-position model. The record is from RNAcentral.
GUCCGCACUGUAAACGAUGAUUACUCGCUGCUGGGAGGUAACUUUCAGUGGCUUAGCGAAAGCGAUAAGUAAUCCACCUGGGGAGUACGCCGGCAACGGUGAAACUCAAAGGAAUUGACGGGGGCCCCGCACAAGCGGAGUAGCAUGUGGUUUAAUUCGAUGAUACGCGAGGAACCUUACCAGGGCUUGAAAGUUAGUGACCGACUCUGAAAGGAGUCUUUCCGCAAGGACACGAAACUAGGUGCUGCAUGGCUGUCGU